RNAcentral lists this non-coding RNA (31 nucleotides) under Homo sapiens (human). Lineage: Eukaryota; Metazoa; Chordata; Mammalia; Primates; Hominidae. The record is from RNAcentral.
UGUCACUCCAGGAUCAGCUACCUGCAGGAGA